RNAcentral lists this small nuclear RNA (186 nucleotides) under Nipponia nippon (crested ibis). Its description in RNAcentral is "U2 spliceosomal RNA". It matches the Rfam family "U2 spliceosomal RNA". Rfam says of the family: U2 is a small nuclear RNA (snRNA) component of the spliceosome (involved in pre-mRNA splicing). Complementary binding between U2 snRNA (in an area lying towards the 5' end but 3' to hairpin I) and the branchpoint sequence (BPS) of the intron results the bulging out of an unpaired adenosine, on the BPS, which initiates a nucleophilic attack at the intronic 5' splice site, thus starting the first of two transesterification reactions that mediate splicing. Lineage: Eukaryota; Metazoa; Chordata; Aves; Pelecaniformes; Threskiornithidae. The record is from Rfam by way of RNAcentral.
GUCCUUUCUCAGCCUUUUAGCUAAAAUCAAGUGUAGUGUCCAUUCUUGUUUAGUUUAUGCCACAGACAUCUUCAAUAUGAGGACAUGAUGUUAAAUGAGUGUGGGAAGUGGGAGGUGAACUUGGAGCUUGCUCUGUGCCUUGACCUACCAAUGCAGUGCCCCAGGGAAUAGGAGUGGGUGACGGGA